UACGUAGGUGGCAAGCGUUGUCCGGAAUUAUUGGGCGUAAAGCGCGCGCAGGCGGUUUCUUAAGUCUGAUGUGAAAGCCCCCGGCUCAACCGGGGAGGGUCAUUGGAAACUGGGAAACUUGAGUGCAGGAGAGAAGAGCGGAAUUCCACGUGUAGCGGUGAAAUGCGUAGAGAUGUGGGGGAACACCAGUGGCGAAGGCGGCUCUUUGGCCUGUAACUGACGCUGAGGCGCGAAAGCGUGGGGAGCAAACAGG
RNAcentral lists this ribosomal RNA (253 nucleotides) under uncultured bacterium. RNAcentral describes it as "partial 16S ribosomal RNA". It matches the Rfam family "Bacterial small subunit ribosomal RNA", at positions 524 to 776 of the family's 1533-position model. The record is from RNAcentral.